Non-coding RNA from Mycena crocata, 97 nucleotides. The record is from the annotation of a GenBank genome assembly. NCBI's taxonomy places the organism in Eukaryota, Fungi, Basidiomycota, Agaricomycetes, Agaricales, Mycenaceae.
GCACCGAUGGUGUAGUGGGAACACACGCUCAAACUUUGGCGCGCAAAAGACAAUACAUUGUAUGGGCGGGUCCGGGGUUCGACUCCCCGUCGGUGCA